UGGGGAAUUUUGCACAAUGGGGGAAACCCUGAUGCAGCGACGCCGCGUGGGGGAUGAAGGCCUUCGGGUUGUAAACUUCUUUUGCUCUGAACAAGGCAUGCCUUUGGGGUGUGUUGAGUGUAGGGGUUGAUUAGCGCCGGCUAACUACGUGCCAGCAGCCGCGGUAAUACGUAGGGCGCGAGCGUUGUCCGGAAUUAUUGGGCGUAAAGGGCUUGUAGGUGGCUGGUUGCGUCUGUCGUGAAAGCUCAUGGCUUAACUGUGGGUUUGCGGUGGGUACGGGCUGGCUUGAGUGCAGUAGGGGAGGCUGGAAUUCCUGGUGUAGCGGUGGAAUGCGCAGAUAUCAGGAGGAAUACCGGUGGCGAAGGCGGGUCUCUGGGCUGUUACUGACGCUGAGGAGCGAAAGCGUGGGGAGCGAACAGG
Molecule: ribosomal RNA, 420 nt
Filed under: Fusobacteriota bacterium
Lineage: Bacteria; Fusobacteriati; Fusobacteriota
Description: Fusobacteria bacterium partial 16S ribosomal RNA
Rfam family: Bacterial small subunit ribosomal RNA
Source: RNAcentral